RNAcentral lists this ribosomal RNA (119 nucleotides) under Pteropus alecto (black flying fox). Lineage: Eukaryota; Metazoa; Chordata; Mammalia; Chiroptera; Pteropodidae. The record is from RNAcentral.
GUCUACAGCCAUGCUAACCUGAACAAGCCCGAUCCCAUAUGAUCUCGAAAGCUAAGCAGGAUUGGGCCUCGUUAGUACUUGGAUGGGAGACCACCUAGGAAGACCAAGUGCUGUAGGUG